Non-coding RNA from Nerophis lumbriciformis (worm pipefish), 3163 nucleotides. The record is from RefSeq and is a predicted model, not a curated record. Lineage: Eukaryota; Metazoa; Chordata; Actinopteri; Syngnathiformes; Syngnathidae.
GUAUGUAAGAGUGUUUCAGUAGUGUAUGUAAGAGUGUUUCAGUAGUGUUUAUAAGAGCGUUUCAGUAGUGUUUAUAAGAGUGUUUCAGUAGUGUUUAUAAGAGUGUUUCAGUAGUGUAUGUAAGAGCAUUUCAGUAGUGUUUAUAAGAGUGUUUCCGUAGUGUAUGUAAGAGUGUUUCAGUAGUGUUUAUAAGAGUGUUUCAGUAGUGUAUGUAAGAGCAUUUCAGUAGUUUAUAAGAGUGUUUCAGUAGUGUUUAUAAGAGUGUUUCAGUAGUGUGUAUAAAAGAAAAAGAUUUCAGUUGUUUAUGUGAGCGCAUUUCAGUUGUGUAUGUAAGAGCAUUUCAGUAGUGUUUAUAAGAGUGUUUCAGUAGUGUGUAUAAAAGAAAAAGAUUUCAGUUGUUUGUGUGAGAGCAUUUCAGUAGUGUAUGUAAGAGGUAAUUCUGAAUAAUGUCCCUCACGGCCCCUCAUACAGGGGGUUUAGCUCGCUCAUCUGCGGGAACAAACUGCCGCCAUUGCUUGCCGUGCUACCGAGGUCCUUUGUCCCUGAAUUGCUCACACACUCCGGCAGAUUCAAUGGGGGUCUGGCGGCAGAUUUCUUUGACUUUAUCGUUGGAAAUGCAUCUGCUUUGAGUGUCGCAGGAUAUCCACACAUUCUUGCCAUCUCUGUCGUAGCAUAGCUUUCGUCGGUAAAGUGUGCGGAACAAACGUCCAAUUUCUUGCCACUUUCGCAUCUUUGGGCCACUGGUGUUGUUACACCCUCCGACAACACACCGACGAGGCAUGAUGUCUCCAAGGAAGUGGGCGGGAUGGAAGGAUCGUGGCUUCUCCCACUCGUCCUCGUCGUAGAGGACGGACAUGAGGAGGACAUAGAUGGCGGUCCCCUGAAGACAGACAAUGAGGUGAACGUUGAUGUCUUUUGUUGUGUUGUACUUUGUCAGACCUUCUUGAUGAAGUGACCCCGGAAGGUGACGUCCCGGCUAGUCCUGUGAGGAAGCGCCAUGGGGACGAUGUUAGCCACCCUUUGGGUUUCGUGGAUGACGGCGUCCGUAAAAGGCAGGUUCUUCCUGUCCUCCACCUGGACCUGCCGAUUCCCGAUUACGUUGUGCAGUUCCUCACGGACCUGCUCUGAGGUGGAACGUGUGUCUUCAGGGUGCUGGCAUAGAGGUGUGCGAGACACGAGGGCACAGCCUCUUACCUUGGAUGUUUGGAUACUUGGCCAUGAGGAGAAGAGCCCACCUCAGUGUGGUGGCUGUGGUGUCGGUACCGGCGGCAAAGAGGUUCUGGACCGUCCACAUUAAGUUUUCAUCAUGGAAGUGACUGUUGCUGCUGCCAGACUCCUGAAGACAAUCAAUCAGCAUCGAGAAUUUGGACUUUGGACCAUUAUGUGGUGUUGACGCACCUCCAGCUGUUGCUUGCGGACAAAGAAGGCAUCCACCAGGCUUCUGCACAUCAGCGGGUUGAGGCUUUUUUUCAAACGACUAAAUAUUUCCAGAUUCUUCCUGCUGUAGUCCUCGGUCAGUCUGAAAAAUUCCUUGUUCUGCUGCAGCCUCUUGCCCAGCCACGGGAACAUGUUGAAGACCUGAAGAGGACAUGUCCUUGUUGAAGAAGAUGAGGAUAUAGCGACAAGUAUGAGGAGAGGAGGCACCUGAGCUGACGGGGAGCCAGCAAGCUGGAUUUUCCGGUUCAUUCCAUCCACCAUGGCUGUGAACUCGGGGUCGUCAUAUUCGAACCUGCUUCCGUAAACGAUGGAGCAGAUGAUGUUUGAGACUGCAUAGUUGAUUGGCUGAGUGGUGUCAAAGGACUCUCCUGAAACAAUCAAGUACAGUCAAACCUGUUUAUAGCGGCCAACUCGUAUCAGUCCCUCUAAGAUUUUGCAAGAUUUUUUUGUGACUGCUUUGGCCUAAAAGGCUUAAAAAAGCUUUAUCAUUCAGUUGCAUCAAAACUUUGGAGGCUUUAAAUUUGAUCAACUAGCGAUUUUGUGAAUUUUUAACUUCAAAUUUUUUUACCUCAAAAAACACAUUGUUUCAACAAAAAAAAGAAAAACAAUUAGUGUAUUGAUGUUUUACUCAUUUUAUACCACACAGACUAAAAAGUAUACACUAGAUGGCAGUAAAAGCACAUUCUCAGAGCUCAUUGUCAUAUUACUGUAUGUUUUAUUUAAUUAUAACUAAUAAUAGUAAUAAUUCAUUAUAAUUACAGAAAGAAAACCCACCAAAAGUUUCCUUUUUGUCCACUGUCAGCUCUGUCAUCCACUCUUAAACAUUAAUUCAUGUUCCAAAACAUUUAACCCCGUACAUUAAGAGCAUUUGUGAACUGUUGAGAGCAACCUAUAGAGCUGAUUUAUGUUGGUAAAUGAGGGACGAUGAGAAAUUAUCAUCACAUUUCAACAUCUCUAACAUGUAAGUGUUGCCUCUUUGCUAGGUCAGCAUUGCAUCCAUCCAUCCAUUUUCUACCGCUUAUUCCCUUUGGGGUCGCGGGGGGCGCUGGAGCCUAUCUCAGCUACAAUCGGGCGGAAGGCGGGGUACACCCUGGACAAGUCGCCACCUCAUCGCAGGGCCAACACAGAUAGACAGACAACAUUCACACUCACAUCCACACACUAGGGCCAAUUUAGUGUUGCCAAUCAACUUAUCCCCAGAUGCAUGUCUUUAGAAGUGGGAGGAAGCCGGAGUACCCGGAGGGAACCCACGCAGUCACGGGGAGGACAUGCAAACUCCACACAGAAAGCAAAUUAAAAAAUAUGUUCUUAAUUGCCUUACCCUGGAUAAAUAAAUGUUAAAUAAAUAUAUAAAUACACGCAAACUAAAAAGUAAAUGUUUAUAUACUACAUUACUCAGAAGGCUUAGCGCUGUAGACAGAACGAGGAAAUAGGUCUGAGCUAUGCGAAAAGACAAUUGUGCCAUUUGGGCAAUAAAGAGUUGAUAUAUUGAUACAUGGUGUUGUUACUGUUUUGUCUACACAAGAAACAAACUUAAGUUUUCAUUAGACAGUUGACGUGUGUUUGAGCACCACUCAGAGAUAAAUGUGACUGGCCAGAAGUUGCGGGCAUUGGACUAAAGGUUACGAGACAGGGCAUAAUUUGCUUGAUAUUUUGUGUGAAUUGGCGUGACAUUGUGUCUUCCUGGUGGGAUUAUUUUGCAUUCCAAAAUAAAUGUUUUACUCCA